UACAACUCUGAUUCUAUGUCUUGU
RNAcentral lists this microRNA (24 nucleotides) under Rosa chinensis. RNAcentral describes it as "sRNA RchiOBHm_Chr7g0224605". The record is from RNAcentral. Lineage: Eukaryota; Viridiplantae; Streptophyta; Magnoliopsida; Rosales; Rosaceae.